AGAUGGGAGGGGGAUGAUGCUGGAACAUCUGUCACCACUUUGCUCACUGGGGUUGAUGCUGCUCCUUGGGGUGGCCAGGUGGCUGCACUCGCCCUUGUCACCAAGCCAGGUGCACCCUCCUCACAGUUGUGCACUUGAUUAAAGAGGACCACCUUCCCUGGACAGAGGAGGACCAGCUUUUGGUCAAGGAUGGACAAGUAGCUCUGUUCCUCUGCUAGAACCUGCAAACUUGCUCUCAAAUCCAACCAACAAAAUGGCCAGAGAUGCAGCUCCACGGCGGAGCACUUGCCUAGCAUGUGCAGUCUCAAGUACUAC
Molecule: small nuclear RNA, 315 nt
Filed under: Peromyscus maniculatus bairdii (prairie deer mouse)
Lineage: Eukaryota; Metazoa; Chordata; Mammalia; Rodentia; Cricetidae
Description: 7SK RNA (ENSPEMG00000002694.2)
Rfam family: 7SK RNA
About the family: 7SK was discovered as an abundant small nuclear RNA in the mid-70s but a possible function has only recently been suggested. Two independent studies have found that 7SK RNA binds the CDK9/cyclin T complex (known as elongation factor P-TEFb).
Source: Rfam by way of RNAcentral